This 395-nucleotide ribosomal RNA is filed under the name uncultured Filosa. RNAcentral describes it as "partial small subunit ribosomal RNA". It matches the Rfam family "Eukaryotic small subunit ribosomal RNA", at positions 30 to 432 of the family's 1831-position model. Lineage: Eukaryota; Cercozoa. The record is from RNAcentral.
GCUUGUCUCAAAGAUUAAGCCAUGCAUGUCUUAGUGUAAAUAACUCUUAUGAAACUGCGAAUGGCUCAUUAAAUCAGUUAUCAAAUACGUGAUGGUCGCCUACUACAUGGAUAACCGUAGUAACCUAGAGCUAAUACAUGCACAAAAUCCCGACUUCACGGAAGGGAUGUAUUUAUUAGAUAAAAAACCAAUCCGGCAACGGUGCUUGGUGAUUCAUAAUAACUGUUCGAAGCGCACGGCCUCGCGCCGGCGCUAGUUCAUUCAAAUUUCUGCCCUAUCAGCUUUCGACGGUAGUGUAGUGGACUACCGUGGCGCUAACGGGUGACGGAGAAUUAGGGUUCGGUUCCGGAGAGGGAGCCUGAGAAACGGCUACCACAUCCAAGGAAGGCAGCAGG